AUAAUACUUAACUUUUUUCCUGCUUUUUUACUUGCUUGUUCUCUCUCGCUUUUGGUUCGGCCGUCGAUCCGUUUGCCUUCUCCUUUCGCUUUCGUUUCCCUGCUUAUCUUUCGCUUUCGCCCCCUCUCUUCCUUCAACCGUUUUUUUCUUAGAGAAGCGGCCUGGGCCCUUCGGACGUUCCCGUGUGGCCUUUCGGCCCCGGGGACCUUCCGUUGGCCUUUUCGGCGGGCUUCUCUGGUUUUCGUUUGCUCGGGGAAGCGGCCUGGGCCGUG
This 272-nucleotide long non-coding RNA is filed under the name Zostera marina. RNAcentral's name for it is "long non-coding RNA (ZMAR_LNC003582)". Lineage: Eukaryota; Viridiplantae; Streptophyta; Magnoliopsida; Alismatales; Zosteraceae. The record is from RNAcentral.